GCCCGGCGUCGCGGCCUCCCUAGCGCCAUGCUGGGCUUUCGGGGAGUAGUACUUGCACGGGGCCUGCGGGCCGUGGCGUCGGCAUGGCUGCGGGACUCGAGUUGCCGUGCGCUGGCCGUGGCGCACACAGCAGGCGCGCCCCGCGCAGGGGACUGGCUGUCCCCAGCCCCACCGCAGCUACACCGGCGCCCGCUCAGCCUUUCGGCCGCGGCGGUCGUGAGCUCGGCGCCCCGCCCUGUGCAGCCCUAUCUGCGCCUCAUGCGGUUGGACAAGCCCAUUGGAACCUGGCUACUGUAUUUGCCAUGUACCUGGAGCAUUGGUUUGGCAGCUGAACCAGGUUGUUUUCCAGAUUGGUACAUGUUAUCCCUCUUUGGCACUGGAGCUAUUCUGAUGCGUGGAGCAGGCUGUACUAUUAAUGACAUGUGGGAUCAUGACUACGAUAAAAAGGUUACAAGAACAGCAAAUCGUCCAAUAGCUGCUGGAGACAUUUCAAUUUUUCAAUCCUUUGUUUUUCUUGGAGGACAGCUGACCUUGGCACUGGGUAUUCUUCUGUGUUUGAAUUACUACAGUAUAGCUCUGGGAGCAGCAUCCUUACUUCUUGUCAUCACCUACCCACUAAUGAAGAGAAUUACAUACUGGCCUCAGUUAGCCUUGGGGCUGACUUUUAAUUGGGGAGCAUUACUUGGAUGGUCUGCUAUCAAGGGUUCCUGUGAUCCAUCUGUGUGCCUGCCUCUUUAUUUUUCUGGAGUUAUGUGGACACUGAUAUAUGAUACUAUAUAUGCUCAUCAGGACAAAAGAGACGAUGCUCUGAUUGGUCUUAAGUCCACAGCACUGCGGUUCCAAGAAAACACCAAGCAGUGGCUAACUGGCUUCAGUGUUGCCAUGAUGGGGGCGCUGAGCCUAGUGGGAGUAAAUAGUGAUCAAACUGUACCAUACUAUGCUGCUCUGGCCACCGUCGGAGCCCAUCUAGCUCACCAGUUCUUGGCGGACACAACAUCCUUGUUGGUAUGUGGUGCUGAGGAUCGAACCUGGACCGCACGCAUGCCAGGGAACAAGGUGAUACACUCCUCAACCACGGUCUGGAUGGCAUUGACGAAUACACAAGAUGAUCUAGAUGCUAAACACUAGAUUUGGUUGUAUUACCCAAGUGUGGUGAGGCAAACAGAAGAGGAGGCUCUGGCCAUUAAGAAGAUGGUUUGUAAUUUACUGUUUCCAAGAGGAGCGGACACAUCGCACCAUGCAGAGCCAUAGGAGGAAGCAGCCUGGUCAGGCAGGACUCAGCUUUUCACAUAUAUGGCCACAAGAUUGCCCACAGUGAGUCUCUUAAUUUCUCAGGUCCCUUUUUCGGCAGACACAACAUCUUUUUUUGUAUGUGAUGCUGAGGAUCGAACCUGGGCCGCACGCAUGCCAGGCGAGCGCGCUACCACUUGAGCCACAUCCCCAGCCUCAACUUCCAGGAUUCUGUCAGUCUUAAUAAGAAGUGGUUUUCUCUUUAUUGGUUUCUAGAUACCCAGGAUAUGAGGAUAUACCAUUCAGAGCAUAUCCUCAUGCCCACUUCAGGAGAGGGCUUGUGACUGCAACCUGGCCAAUGGAGCAGCACCUUCCUCUAGCCUCAGGGACCCAAAUGAAAGGACAACAGUGCAAUUGGACCCAAACAAGAUGGCCACUUCAGAGGAUAUGGGAGCCGUUGGCAUUAAGGUGCACAUGGAGUUGAGGAGGAAUGAAGUCAGCAUGAAGGACAGUAGAGCCAAGAGUAGAAACCUCGUUUGAGGGAACAAGGAGUUCCAAAACUGGUUAUGCCUGCAAUUCUUCAACUGUAAUGAAUAGGAUGGGUGUCUUCAGAGCAGGAAACAUGCUUGUUACCAUUGAAUCCCUCCUGCCUCACACAGGCCUGAUGUGCAGCACCUGCCCAAUGUUUAUCUGGUAAAUGAAUGAACAAAAUAAUCAGCGACUAGAACAUGAAGUCUUCGGGUUGAUUUUAUUCUAAUUACAGAUGACCUGAUGGAUCCCUUUAAUGCAGCUAGAUGAGGUAAAUGAUAAAAUGGAUAAAUCCCCAAACCUAGAACCUCUUUUUUGAUAGAAUUCAGUUGUUCCCUAAAUGAUUACUGCAUUAUUUUCCUCUUGUGUGGAUGGCUUAGACCACAACUCCAAAGGUACUUUAAUGCCAUCCCAUGGGAUCCUGAAUCCUUCUCAUGCCUUUGUCUGGGCCCCUACACUAGAGUUAUCUGAACUCCAUAAUGGCAAAAUUUCAUGUCUUUACCUUGCCUCGCUGGGGAGGCAGGCAGGUGAGAUAUACUACUGUGGAGAAGAGGGAUGCCCAAGACACUCUGGAAAACCUAAAAUCAGACGCAUAUUCUGAGGGGGGCCUGAGGGGUGACAGCAGAGGAAGAAAACAUGACUAGCACAUCGCUUCUUUGUUUCCAGGCUCUCUGUCCUGGUGCUCACUCUGUCCUCAGGGCAGACCCAUGAGGUUGAAGCUGUGACCACCAUUUUGUAUUUGAGAAUAGGGUAAAAGAAUGGGCUUUUAUGUCAGGUAGGCCUGGCUCAAAUUUCCCCCUUCCUAAAUUACCCACUUAGGGCCGCUGGGCACUGGCCACUCAAUACACAAGUCAUCACAACACUUAAGCACCAGUUGUAUGGGGCUUUUUCUCCAUAUAUCAGGCAGUCAAUCAAUCCUGGCACCAGAUUCUGCAGCAGAUACCAGCUGCAUGUCCCCUUAACCAGUCCAGUUCUGAUACUGUCUACAUAACAGUAGCAUUGGAUCCCACAGGUUGAGGGCUUGGUCCCAAGGCUCUCUCUCCAUUUCAGAGGCCAGUUGUAGGUGCAGGCAUGGCUUGUGCUGUUGACUCAUCAGCUAUCACUUGGGACUCCCUUGGACCCCCCCUUGAGUUUGAUUCAUUUCCUAGGAAGAUUCAUAGCACUCAAGAAAACACUCAUGUUUAUUAGCCUAUUAUAAAGGGUAUUCCAAAGGACAAUGAGGAAUAAUAAAGAGAUGCAUAGGGCAAGGUAUGUGGGCAGGGGUAUGUGGGCAGGAGUAUGGAGCUUUGUGCUUUCCCUGGGGCACACCACUGUUCAGACAUUCAGCUAUCUGAAAGCUGUCUGGAUCCAGUCCUUUUAUAUAUAUAUAUAUAUACAAGCUUCAUUAGAUAGGCAUAAUUGGCUAAAUUAUUGAUGUUUGGUGAUCAAUUCAACCUUCAGACUCUCUCCCCUUCCUAGAAAUUGGGCUGGGUGGGGAGAACUAAAAGAUUCCAACUUGCUGAUCAUGCCUUGGUCUAUCUUGUGACCAGAUCCUAUCCUGAAGCUACCUAGAGGCUGUUGGCCACCAGUCAUCUUAUUAGUUCACACAAAAACAUACUUAUCAUUCUGGAGAUUCUGAGGACUUCAGGAUACCAGCAAAUAGGGUAAAUACUAAAUACGUGUUUCACAAUAUCACAGGUAAGUUACUUAAUUUCUCUGGGCUCAAUUUCUUGAUCUUUAUCAUAAUAAUAAUAAUAAACACUGAUUUUUUCUAUGUCAAUUGGUAAAGCUAUAUAUAAAUACAUUCAUCAAAAUGAACUUAUUUGUGCACAGCACAUACUGGGUACUCAAUAAUCAAAGUUAUUUAUUAAAAGAACUAUCAAAGAUCCACACAGGAAGUGGCCUAGAAUGUGAAGACCUCUUGCUUCAUAAGAUCCAGGCUUGGUGGUUUGUCUUGCCUCCAAGGUCGUGAGCUCUUCCAGGACAGAAAUGGGGCCUCAUAUCUUUUUGAUUUAGUGACCUAGAUAUGGAGUGAUUAUUAUUUACACACUAGCCUACACAUAGCAUUUAUUAUGCUGAUACUGACUUUUCUAUCCAAUGAUACGUGUGAAUGGUAAUAGAUGGCUCAAAUGCCUCUCUGAAUAAGUCAGCACCAGGAUAUCCCUUCCCACUUCAUCUGCCAAGUCCAGGAACAAGCCUCUCAGCACACUUCUGGCCAGGAAGAACAUAAAGCAGGGUUUUCGUCAAGUGAGUCAUUCAAUUUUUAUAUUCAGGCAUCAUGAAAGGAAAUACAACUCCUAAGACUCACACCUAUAGGAAUGAAGGACAUUUUAACCUCUGCUAAACUAAUAGAUUUUUAGUCAGCAGUGCUGGAAACAAUCAAGUUAUUUAAAUACAGUAUAAUCAAGGUAUUUAAAUACAGUAUAAUGUGUGUGUGUGCCUACCUAAUGAUUCAUAAUGUGAUUCAUUUCCCAUCUCACCCCUCCACCUGAUUCCUUAGAACUUCCAAUUUUACCUACUGAGAUUUUCUGUUAUUCCAUCCCCCUGCCUUCUAUCUGGCCUCAGGCCCUCUGCAACCUUCACUUGCUAUGAAAUUGUUCCUUCAGGCCUCCAUGAUGUCAGUUUUACCUUCUAGAAUGCAGGCUCUGCACUGACCCCAGACCAAUGGUUCCAAAAUGCCAUGACCAUGUGCCUGCUUUGCCCCCAAUCCUUGAGCAUCUCCCCUUGUCUAGCCUUCCAGCUCUUUAGCUUGGAAUAGCCAAAUAACCAGGCAUUAGGGUUCAGGACAUGAAAUCCUAAAACAUCCCAAGUACUCUGAACUGAAAGAAUCUGGAAAGCCUCAGGAGCAAGGUCUCUCUGACUUUGUCUUGCCUUCGUAUCUCUUGCCCUCCUUCUUCCCUGAAGCAAUUGAUAGAAACCAGAAUUUCUCUUUCCCAUGGCAAGUCAUUAAAACUAAACCUCUCUGCUCCAGAGCAAGCCAUAAAACCUAGGAAAGUCACUCUCUCCCUUCUGCCUUCUCUCCUAAAGACUCAUUCCAGAGGGGUCCUGUCCUGUCCUAUAUACCCAGCAGGAAGGAAUGCUGCACAGAGCCCAGGAAGAAUCUGGACAGAUGAGCCUUGCCUCAUUUCCCCCUCUGUCCAUUUCCAUUCGGUCAUAUCCUUUGUCCCAUCACAUUUCCACAGAGCCCUCAUUCUUCCUCAACCCUAAGCAUAAAAACAGUGUUCCCAGGAUCUUUAGGUCUUCAUUUCUGAAGCCCCCAUCCUGCAUAAGGCUUUAUUAAACAAAUUCAUUAUGCUUUUCUUGUGUGGCCUGUCUUUUGUUAGAGCUGAGUGUCAGCUGUGACCCUUAGGAUGAGUAAGGAAAUGCAUCACACAUUUCUACCCUGCAGUGGCAAGAAGGAAUAUUGAAUGUCUCAAAAUUUUUUGAGAUUUAAGGCUGGCUGCCCAAUUCUUAUUUCUAAACAAGUUUCCAGAAGCUUUUUAAAAAUUGUUAUUAUUUUUAAUGAACCUCAAGCUUGGCUAGUUUAGGCCUCACUAGCCCACAUGGAAAUCAUAUGCUGCUUUUUAAUUUUAUGUUUUGCAGUGCUGGAAAUCAAACCCAAGGCCCAGCAUAUGCUAGGAAAGCAGUCUACCAUUAGAGUACUUUAUUAGGAGGUAAUGAAAUUUUAAGAAUCUGAAAAAAAUAAACAAGCCUUGGACCUUCAUCCAAUGUGAGUUUUCCAAUCUGUCCUAGUGAAGAAUGUUAUCUGGAAAAUGUCACAAAAAAAUAAAUGCAAUGAGAUUGAAUGCUGAGUCUACUUUCUUAAAUAUAAAAACAUUGGCACCCCUCCCCCAAGUUAGUGAAGAACGGCAAGAUGUUUUUUCUCCACUCUUCCUCAUUCCUCCACCCGCAAUCUCCUUGCAAGAACAGUGUUCUGUGUUCUGCUAAGCUUCUGAUUGUCAUAGGCUGUGGUCCACUGUAGUUAGCCCAGCGGUGGUAGGUAUUUUUGCAACACAGAAUAUCUUUCAGUGUUGCAACCCUGUUGUCUUUCUCUUCUAUCUUCUUUCAACAGAAAGGAAAAAAGAAUUCUUGCUGGAGGUGUAGCUCAGUGGUAGAGUAUGUACUUAGCAUACUUGAGGCCCUGGAUUCAAUCUGUAGCACCAAACCCAAAUCAAAAUCUAAACCAAAACAAAAAAUGUAAAGUCUGUAAAAUCUUACUAUACAACUGAGACAAGCCAGGAGGAAAUGAGUGGUAAAUGUUAACUAUUUGCAUAGGUUACUCUUAAAAACCUACAUCUGCAAUAUGAAAUUGUCUUUUAAAUUAAAUUUGGUGGUAGUGAUUCCUAAGAGCUUGUAGUAUCAUACUUUUUUCUUUUGCUACUAAGAGCUGAGAGUGUAACCAAGUGUCAGAGCAUUUGCCUAGCAUGAGUGAAGCCCUAGAUUCCAUCCUCAGCAUGACAAAAAAAGAAAGAAAGAAAGAAAGAACAAUACUACUAGAAGAUCAUUUAUUUUUUUCCUAUGAUUCAUAAUUUUUUUCUUAAUCAGUAAAGAAGAGAUCAUUGUAUCACCAGUAAAACUGAUGGGUCUAAACAGAAUGUUCCAAAUUUCUUCUAAAAGUUUUAUUUCUUCUUUUGUAAUUGGGUUCAAGAUUUGCUGGUUUUGCUUAGGGUGGAGACACAAUGUCUAUUGCAGUCAUGUUGAGGUUCAUCAUUAUUUGAUUGUCAGAAGGUAACUCUAAAUGUCAAAAACAAUUUUUGAAAUUGUUAUUUUCCUGAGUUGUUGCUUUCUUUUUGUGGCAAUAUAACUGAAGUGGCUCUCCGUGUUUUUACAGCAGAGGGAAUGAUUGUUCCUUCUCUCUUGGAUGAUUUAAAGAAAGGACAAAAGAGAAGCUGUGUUUUCUCCCUCUUCUAGGCCAUUUGGGCAAAUGACAACUCUUCAGAUGGUUGGUUAAAGGCUUGGGGGCAGGAUGGAGAAAGGGUGGGGUGGUAUUUCUAAUGUCCGGGUGUUCAGUCUUUAUAUACCAAAAUUGUGGAUGUGAGACUUACAGUUCUGUUUUCAUACAUUUGUAUAUUCCCCUGAUUGUUAAAAACACAGAUUGAGUAUCUACUCUGCUUCGAGCACUACGACAUUAUGGUAGGAGAAAAAGUUGAAUGGCCUCACGCUCAGUAAAAACUAGAGACCUGAAACUAGCUGACCUUAAAAGAUGACCAGUACCAGACAGACAUCUUUAGAGCCCUGGAACGUGUUGAAAACUGUAUGGCCAGCUACCCACUCAUGCCCCUCCUUGUGUAAAUAAUUUUAAAGAAGUCCAGUAAAAUGCAAUUCUUUCUCCUAAGGAUGAUAUUUGAGAACAAAUAAACUAAACUGUUUCCCUAUAUUCUAUUUGACUUUGCCCCAGCUUUAUUGGCACUCUAAGGAUGAGCUUAAUUUGCUUCCUGGGAAAUCCAAUCCUAAGGACACCCCUGAGAGCUGGUGACUGCAGUGGCAAAGUUCAGAGGAGGCCAGAGGACAAGGCAGGCCUGAGGGCGUAGCCAUCAUCCUAUUAAACUAGUCCUUAAUGCUGCAUGGAAACUCACCUGGGUUUUCCUUCCAGAAGUGAAGACAGAGACAAGUGUACGUGCACUUAAUAGUUGUCCCGUUUAGCCCAUGGGCCUUGUUUUGGAAGGACACACCUGGAGGCUUUUAGAAAAAAGAACUAUUUCAUAAUCAAGUAUUCAUAAGCUGAUGCCUUCUUCCUGAAUUCAAUUUAUCCACAUUUAAGAAUUUCAUAACCACAAGGAAAUCACAUUUUUAUUUAAGUUUUGAGACCCAUUUAUAUUGACUAGAGGAGUCAAUGAAAUGGUUUUGUUGUCUUCUUAUAAAAUAUUGAAUGUGACUUGUUCAAGUUUCUCAUUACAGGCACUCCUCAAAUUCAACAUUCUGUAAGUUUUUAACCACUAGUUUUAUGUCUAAGGACCAGCAUUAUCUUAGACCUCUUUCAUGGACCCCCUUAUAAAUUAUGACAUUUUGACAGAAACCUUUCACUUUCCCAUUACCAAACUAAAUUUUAAGUCAUUUACCAAAGUUGGCUGCUCACUAAAAAAGUUAAAAACAAAAACACAUGGCCCAAAUCUCGUUGAGAUAUUUUGUACUAAAGUAGCUAUUAUUAGUUAAAUGGACUGACCAAGUAAACUUCAGCCCACCUGGGUCAGACAAUGUCAAUUCAAAUUUGAAGUCAUAGCAAGGUUUAAGGCACAGUGCUACAUUUCAUGGUUCUUCUGAUUCUUUUAGCCAAGAUGUUAGAUCUGAGACAGUUAAACUACUGAUCUUCUGUGAACAUGACCCGCUAGCAGAUACAUUAAGCAUGGCUGAAGCUGAGUUCUCUGCAAAUGCAGAAGCUGGGCAUUCCCUCUUUGCCUUUUGGGAUUUCUCCCUGCUGAUCUCCGCAAAUAAUUGAAAUAAGUGAAGAGAGAAAUAGAAUCUAAAAAGGCAAGACAGGAGUCUGAUGGAAAUAAAGAGUUGCUUAAGCAAGGAAUUUGAUUUUAGUUGAGAGCUUUCGGGAUAUCUGCAUGGAAGUUGUAGAAGUUGAAACUUUUAAGAUAUACCAAAAAUUCAUUCACUCAACUACCAGUAUUUCAGCCCUUGAUUCUGCAGAAAGGAUUAAGUUGUGGGAUUGUUGCAGAACCCAAGCAGCCACAGGGGUUCCAUGAUCCUGCAGGAAGACUUUCAAGUGAGUCAUACAGAAUAUAGUUGGGGUUUAUGAGAAAAUUGAGAAAUUAGGGUAAGGUUCAAUAAGGCACCCCAUAGACUGCCUCAGGAGAGAAAGGCUUGGCUCUUAGAGUCUGGGGUUUCUAAGGGUUUGGGGUUCCUUUGUUCUUGCCUUAGUUUCACAUAUCCCCCAUUAAGAGGUUUAUUAUCUUUCAUAUAGCCCUCAGCAGAUUUCCUUUGUGAGGGUCCUGAUGACCUAGAUACCAGGGGAGGGUUAUGAUGACCUGGUCACAAGAGGUGGGUGUGACAUGAUCUUGAAACAAUCAUUUCUUUCUUUUAGAGUUUAUAAUUAACUACAUACAGCUGGGGGAAUUUUGGCAUACUAGUUCUCAGUUCCAGAUGUUCCUCUGUUUUGAUAAGAUUCCCGCUGGUUCCCUGUCCUGUGACCUUGGACUCUCUUUGAUACAUGUCUGAUGUCCUCCCCCUUCAUUUCCUUCCCCACCCACCUGGCUGACUGCUAUACAGCAGAGUGAUCUAUAUGAACUCAGAUCAGACUCUUGAUGUUCUUAGAUGCUGCCUUUUCUUUUUUUUAAUAUUUAUUUUUUAGUUAUUGGCGGACAUAACAUCUUUGUUUGUAUGUAGUGCUGAGGAUCGAACCCGGGCCGCACGCAUGCCAGGCGAGCGCGCUACCGCUUGAGCCACAUCCCCAGCCCCAAAUGCUGCCUUUUCACACCUCCACAAGAGUCAUAGUAGAGACAUGUCAACUAAUUCAAUAAUGAUUCUGAGCUCUAGAUACCAAAAGAGAAGUGGUUAACCCCUCCCCACCCUGGGUUCAAUCUCUGGUUUAAAAAAAAAAAAAAGACAGAAAGAAAGAAAAAGAAAUCUAAACUGGUGAAAAUUCUAUUCCAGCAGGAAUGUCAAAGAAUAUGCAUCCUCUAAUCAAGCUAAUUUUUGUUUUUACUUAUAGUUUUGAAGCAUCCCAUAUCAUCAGAGUUAAAUACUUGCAUGGGAUCAUUUUGGCUUUUCAUAGAUCAUUUAUGAUCUGAUAAGUAUUUAAAAUUUAUUUUUUCUUUCUUUCUUUUUUAAGAGACAAGGUCUCACUGUGUUGCCUGGCCUGGCCCUGAACUCAUGGAGUCAAGUGACCCUCUGCCUCAGCCUCCCAAGUUGCUGGGACUAUAGGAGUGUGCCACAGUGCCUGCUUUAGUGACUGUAAAAUCACUGCUUGGUCUUCAAGGCUUUAUUAGGAAAUGUCUGUUUUACUUAUUGCAGAGAUACUGUUAAGUACUUUGACCACUCUAUGUCAUAAAUUGUCUCCUUUUUGAUGAGCUAUUUCCAAAGGUUUCAGUUUUUUUCCUAUUUUAUAGAUAUGGCCAAUCUUCUAAACCUUUGUGUUCCCUCUUUGCUUUGCCUGAUAGGAAGCUGAGAGUCUAAUUUGCAACCUGCUUUGGAACCUUAAAGCAAUUCAUUAAACUUGCUCCAGGCUUUAUUUUCCCUGUGCCUGGUUUCUUCAUUUUUUAUUUUGUAUUUUAUUAUAUACAUUAGACUAUAAACUGCUCAAAACUUAAGAACAAAAUGAGGGUAUGAAUUAGAGUUUUUCAGCCUCUACACUACUGGGCCAAACAUUCCCUGUUGGGAAUUGGAGAAGGCCAGCUGUCCCAGACAGUAUGGGAUGCUUAGCAGCAUUCCUGGCCUCUGCUCACUAGAUGUCAACAGCAGUUCUACCCCAUCCCACUACCCCACACUGUGGUAACUAAACCUAUCACCAGACAUUGCCAAAUAUUUCCUUGGGGGCAACACCAACUCUGGUUGAAAAUCACUCCUGUUUAAAAACUUGUAUGAGUGAAUAAAUAAGCUGGUACUGAGCACUUAAUAUUUUUUAGGCUAUCUGCAGGACACUGUCCUUACAAGACAUGACAAUGACUGAGGUUCAGUUAUUUGCCCUCUGACAAUCCUACAAAUGAGUCAAGGAGAAAAGCAUCUAAGUGCUUAGAAUACAUCUAUCUAAAUUUCAUAUAGAUGUUCUCACAGCUUCCUGUUGUUCUUUUAAUGACCCUGGGAAGAAGGAAGUGAAGAUGCUCUCCACUGAGAGCUAGCCAAGCAUCAGUGCCAUAAUUAGAGCCCAGUGACUUCCCCUGCAAUCUAGUGGAUGCUUCACCACGCCUGGAAAAUUUUCAGCAAAGGAGAGGCAAAUCCAGCUUGGAGGAUUAGAAAAGGCUUCAUGGAGGAGGUAGUUUUUGAGAAAGGUAAAGAAGGAGACAGGAGGGCUGGGGCCGUAGCUCAGAGGUAGAGCUCCUGCCUCGCAUGUCUGAGGCACUGGGUUCAAUCCUCAGCACCACAUAGAAAUGAAUAAAGAUAUUGUGUCCAACUACAACUAAAAAAUAAAUAAAUAAAUAAAAGCCUCUUAAAAAAAAAGAAGGAGGAGGAGACAGGAAGCAGGGACAGACAGCAGUUGCAACAAAAAAAGGAAUGCUUUCAGAGUGAUGGCCAGAUAGUAUAAAGAAGCGGAAAUCAAAAGGACUGAGAAAAUACAGCAAGUCAUGUUGUGAGGAGCUUCAGAGGACAGACCUGAAUGGUUUGGGGUGAAAUUGCAUCUUCCCCCAGGACCAUGUAUACCUGCCACCCAUCUCACAAAUUAUGGAAUAAUUUAGAUAAUAAUAAAGGUAGAUAAGAAGCUUAAUAAGUUAGGUCAUGAGAGAGGGGAGCUAUGGUGAAAUGACCCUGGAGGCUUCCAAGGACCCAGCUUAUCAUCUGCUCUUUAUCUCUUCUCCCACAAACCCAGAUUACAUGAUUUACUGAGCCAAGUUCCUUUUACUUUCUUUUUAAAAAAUUGGCUCUUUUUUAGUUAUACAUGACAGUAGAAUCCAUUUUGAUAUAAUUUUAUACAAACGUAAUAGAUCUUAUUCUAGUUAGGACCCCAUUUUCUAGAGGUACACAAUGGUGGGAUUCACUAUGGUUCUCCUCUCCCCCUUUAUUGUGGGUUAGCUUCCACAUACCAGCAAAACCAUUCAACUUUCAGCUUUGGGGGGUUGGCUUAUUUCACUUAGCAUGAUAGUCUCCAGAUCUAUCCAUUUACUCAGCCAUAAAGAAGAAAGUCAUUCUUCUUUAUGGCUGAGUAAUACUGCACUGUGUAUAUAAUACUCCAUCCCUUUUACUUUCUUAUUUUAUUUUAUUUUAUUUUUUGAUACCAGAGAUUGAACUCAGGGGCACUCAACCACUAAACCACUGAGCCACAUCCUCAGCCCUAUUUUGUAUUUUAUUUAGAGACAGAGUUGCUUAGCAUCUCACUUUUGCUGAGGCUGGCUUUGAACUCACGAUCCUCCUGCUUCAGCCUCCCAAACUUUUACUUUCUUGAUGAAAAAAGAAUAACUGAACUUUGCUGGUGUCAGAAAAAUAUCCAGUCUUGUACUCUCAAAAAGACAUAUUGCUGAGAAGCCUCCUAAUUUAAGCAUUAUCAGAUCUAAACACCAUUUUUAAUAUGAAGAAAAAUGGUUUGUAGUAGAUUUUAUUUAUAGAAAUGUUGAGCUUAAAUUAGGAAUUGCCAUACCUACCACUAUGCAUAAGUCUCCCUAUAACAGGAAAUAAUGAAUAAUGCAUUGUUUUGAUUAAGAUUUCAGAAAUGGCGUUGGUACUUUAGGCAGAAUCCUACUGCUGGACUCUGACACCCAUAGGUUCUGGGGGAGUGAAGGAGAGAACUAGACUUAGAUAGGACUCAAUCCCAGGAUCAAAAUCCCAGCUAGUGGUUCCAGCUUCAGAGAAGCUCGAGGAGGGGAGCAAUCAUUGAAAGAAGCAGAGUCUGAUGGGGCCUGGGGGAGCUCGAGGCUACAGGGGUGCGGGAGCCUGAACCCAAAUAGGGCAGGUGACUACUCUCCUUUCCAUUCCCACUGUACAAACAGAAGGGGCCCUUUCCUCAGCGAUGGCCUAACAGAUGACAAAGCACAGGCCCUUCUCCAUUGACUUGACUUGAGUUUCUUGUUCUAGAAAUUAGAUUAAGAGCCCUAAUGAGAAUAGAAUGGGUUAAUGUGACUCAUGAAAUUAUCUGGUAGGACACUGAAUGCCUGAAAGAGAGGAACAAGAAGGAAAUGAGGAGAUGGGAACAGGGGAAAUUCAGCGUCUUGAGAAUCCGAAAGUGAAGAGUUAUUUGUCUGUUUUUACCUGAAUCAAUCAGGACAACUCAGACUGGUUAAGAGAAAGAGACUUCAGUUCAAGGACUGGGUAGUUAAUAAAUACCACAUUCACCCCUCACUAUCUGUGUGCAUUGGUCCCAGGAUCUCCAUGGAUAUUAAAAAAACAAACAAACUGAGGAUCCUUAUCUAAAUUAUAUUCGCUCACACUCUCCUAGGUUAUUUUAUUGUCUAAUACAAUGUAAAUGCUAGGUACAUAGUUGUGUUGUCUAGGAAAUUAUGUCAAGGAAAAAAAAAUCUGUACAAGUCCAGUUUUUUUUAAACAGAAUAUUUUUGAUCCAUACUUGGCUGAAUCUUUGGAUGCAAAUUGAGGAUAAAACUCCUUCCAAAAGACAGAGGACUUGGUAGAAUGUAAGAGCAGAGACUUUGGCUUUAGUUCACCUGAAAUGAAUUAGUGCUAAACCCAGUGUGGCUGAAUCUCACAAUCCAAAUUUCAAGCAGAAGAAGCCAGAAACAAAAGCAUAAACAACCUAGAAUUAAUCCAGAAUUCAAUAAACACAAGGUUCAAACAGGCAAACCAGCCUCCUGUGUUAGAAGACAGGGUAGCAGUCACUUUUAGUGGAGGGUUAUGACGAUGGCUCUGUCAGUGGGGGAAGCUCCUGGAGUGCUAGCCAGGUCCUCGCUCUUGAAUCAGGUCAUGGUCAAGUCACAAGAAGUGCUCCCUUGGAGAAACUUGGGGCAUCAUAUGAUCUCUGUACUUCACUGUUUGUAUGUUACACUUCAACUGAAAUAGAAAAAUGUGGGCUCGAGCUGCACCUCAGCAGUAGAACACUAUUUGCCUGACAUGUGAGGCCCUGGGUUCAAUCCCAGCAAGAAAUGAAGUGGGGGGAGAGAGAGAGUGGGAGAGAGAGAGAGAGAGAGAGAAAGAAAGAGAAAAAAGAGAAGGAAAGGAAAAGAAAGGAAGGGGAGGGGCUGGGAGAAGAAAGGUACAGAACUGGUCGGGUUAGACUGUGCACACAGGAGCAAUAAGCAGAGGGAAGAGAAAAAAGGAAGGGGUGGAGGUGGUGGACCUUGCAGGAACUUACAUACACACGAGAGGAAGUUCAGAACUGAAUGUGAACAAAUCUAUGGGGACCCUGGUCUCACAUGUGGGUCCUGAGUUCCCGGACUUGCAUUGUGAACAUUUUAGAACUAAGAAAUAAUGUGUUCAGUUUCAUUCCUCAUGGAGACCGCUGGUCAGGCCUACUGGAGUCAGGGUUUAUAUAUCUGGUAGGAAACUGGAUUAGAAUCUCUCCCAGUUUGAAUCCCAGCCCUGCUAUUUUGUCACUCUGGACAUGUAACUUAUUUUCUGAUUCGUUCCCUUUCUUCCAAGGGCUAAAAUCCAAGCCUUCUGAUACCUAACCCAUUGGUCAUCUGUCCCCCACCACUUGGCCUUGUUCUGGGCAGUGGGUUUCCAGGCAAUUGUCCAUUUGAUUAAAUCAAGCCUACGCCCUGCUAUUUAGCGACAUUUAGUUUAACAUAGGCACGGUGGCAUCAGGUCACUGAGAAAACAUUAUGCUUAAUAGAUGUAGUUCAUUGACAUAUCUUAUCAUUAAUUCAAUAACUCAGUGAGACACGGUGUAUUAUUUUAAAGUGUCAAAACUGACACUUUAAAAGUGUCAAAAAAGUGUCAAAACUGAGGCUCAGAGAAGUCAGUUUACUUGUCCAAGAAAACACAGAAUGUAAAAGUAGAUUUGAAGCCAGGUUCAUUUGUCUCCACUGUUUCUAAUCAUGAUCUCAUCCUUGGCUAGUCAAAAGGUGGACAGGGAUCAGCAUCAUAGAUGCUGAUAAUUGGAAGGCAAAACCCAGGUCCCAGUAUGGAUCUACUAAGCUGGAACCUACAUUUUAAAAGGAUAUGUAGAUGAGUCCUGUGCUUGUUAUAAUUUAAGAACCACUGAUCUAAUCAGAGAAAUGAAAAGUUGUGAAGCAGAAAAAAAAAAAGACCACUGAUCUAUAUCAUUGUUCAGUGUAAAUCUAUAUGUAGAAGC
Molecule: non-coding RNA, 14551 nt
Organism: Ictidomys tridecemlineatus (thirteen-lined ground squirrel)
Lineage: Eukaryota; Metazoa; Chordata; Mammalia; Rodentia; Sciuridae
Source: RefSeq, a predicted model, not a curated record